UUUAGAAUGGAUAACACUGAUAUUAUAUUACAUCCAAUAAAUAUAAUCAUAGGGUUGGACCUUAUAUAUUAGAAUAUAGAGUGAAGCCCAACUACUCCGACCUUAAGAGAAAUUUAGAAUGAAUGGAGGGGCGUUUGUUCCAGUGAAGUUCUGCAAGGCAUCAGUGAUCAAGUGUCAAACCAUCCCAAAUCCAUAAACUACCUUUAAUUGUUUCUAAAGGGUAACUCAUGUCCUCUCUCUGCAAUUUCGGUUAUUCUUUGAGAUUUGGAUACCUAGAAGUGAAAUUUAAGAUGAAGUAUUUUGGAUUUAAAUGACGAAAAUACUUGAAGCAGAGUUGAGGGAUAGUGAAAAGAUGCUCAUACAGUAGCAAUUCACAAGAUGUCUUGGGUGAAAUACAUCUAAAUCCUCCAAAGGCUUUAAAGGACUUAAAUAAUGCAAGUCUUUGCAAAUCAAGUGAGGCUACAAAUCAGAUUAUUCAAGGUGAAGUGUGAAUGGUAAUUUGAUUAGCCCAAACGACACGAGAAGUUGAAGCUACGCUCAAAACUCGUGCUACAAGCCUGGCUUCGCCAGCUUCUCCUAUUCAACUGCUCCCGCGCACGCUUUCGACUUAUACUAUUGGUGAAGACGGAGCUAGUAGCUGAUGAGUUCGCUAGAGUUGAUUCAGUUAUUGAG
Molecule: non-coding RNA, 672 nt
Organism: Nicotiana tabacum (common tobacco)
Lineage: Eukaryota; Viridiplantae; Streptophyta; Magnoliopsida; Solanales; Solanaceae
Source: RefSeq, a predicted model, not a curated record